AAAGAUGUUUCAUAAAACUAAAUUUUAUGAAACAAGUUUCAUGGUGUAUGACAGGUUCUCUCUGCCUUCUAAUGCUUCUUUUUGACAUUAUAUACAUCGCACAUGGGUGAAAUCAAUUAUAAGAACGACCUGGGGACUUUACCCCAGGUCGUAAAAACCAAAGCCAUGUUGGACCCUCAAGUUAGACAGAUGCACAAAAAUUUCUGCAGUGUGUGUGUGUGUGUUAUAUCAAUGAUCAUACUAAACAGGAUCAUAAUAAAAAAUAUAAACCUGACCAUAUUAAAGGAAUGAUGUGAUCGUAUGUGUGUGUGUGUGUGUGUGGUAAUUAAUUUAAAUAAAAUAGGACUGAGAGUACAUAAAAUAAAUGAAAAUUGACACACCAACUGUUUUAUAAAGAAAGGUAAGAGGAAUGUUUUAAGUUUACUUAAGAAACAAAGUGAGACAACAUAGCAGGUACAAAAGGAAAUGCAACAAUGCAAAUUGGGAUUUAGGAUUCCAAAAAUAUCUUAAUGAUGCCAGACACAUAAUUAAGCUUCAAAAUCAAUAGCUGUCAUGGUAUAUAACAACAAUAGCUAUCAAUUCUAUCAUGGUAUGGUAAUUAAUACUUAUCAUAUUACCAUAUUUUCUUAAAUAAAAGCCAGGUCAUCUAUUUCUUAAUGGCAUUUGGACCUCAGAAAAAAUUUAAGAAAUAAAAUUAUUUGUUUAUAAAAGUAUCUGUUUUGGUAUUCGUUUUUCUUUUGUUCGGAUUUGAUAUGCAUUUUUUUGUGUUUUAGUAUAAAUAUGAUGCAUGGCUUUUCAUGUGCUAGUGUCACUACCGGAAGUGCUAUAUAAACAAAUGGGAGUAUGCGUCAACAGGGAUAUAAUAGACUACAUAACUGGGAUUGGCAACGGGAUCACGUGAGCACAUCAUUUGUGUAUAAAAACUUUUUGCAGUCUCUGUUAUCAUUUUCAAGAUGGCGGCUCUCAAUGACUGGAGUAUGAAGUUGCCCUUUUUUCUUUUAUAAAUGUAUUUAGCUUUAUGAAAAAUCUACUGCAAAGUUAUAAUAGCGAAUUCAAGGUUCUGAUAGGUUAUUGCAACUUCUCUUGUUUCUCCAGAGUGUUUUAGGAAAUAUUCAAGAAAAACCAUUUUGCCAUAGUAUGACUUUUGCGUACCUCUCAGCGGAAUAGACUACAUUCUAUUGCUAUGAAACUACAAUAAAGAGACCCUUUACAUGUUUUUACAUUGUUUAAAGUUGUUUUUGAAUUUUCCUUGUUGCUGGUUUUUUACUUAUAACAAUAUUACAUUCAGCCAUUUUGCUAAGAUGCCAUUGAUUGCUGC
Amphimedon queenslandica is the source of this 1318-nucleotide long non-coding RNA. RefSeq lists it as uncharacterized. Lineage: Eukaryota; Metazoa; Porifera; Demospongiae; Haplosclerida; Niphatidae. The record is from RefSeq and is a predicted model, not a curated record. The transcript has 2 exons.